This 301-nucleotide ribosomal RNA is filed under the name uncultured bacterium. RNAcentral describes it as "partial 16S ribosomal RNA". It matches the Rfam family "Bacterial small subunit ribosomal RNA", at positions 509 to 809 of the family's 1533-position model. The record is from RNAcentral.
CAGCAGCCGCGGUAAUACGGAGGGUGCAAGCGUUAUCCGGAUUUAUUGGGUUUAAAGGGUCCGUAGGCGGAUCUGUAAGUCAGUGGUGAAAUCUCACAGCUUAACUGUGAAACUGCCAUUGAUACUGCAGGUCUUGAGUAAAUUUGAAGUGGCUGGAAUAAGUAGUGUAGCGGUGAAAUGCAUAGAUAUUACUUAGAACACCAAUUGCGAAGGCAGGUCACUAAGAUUUAACUGACGCUGAUGGACGAAAGCGUGGGGAGCGAACAGGAUUAGAGACCCCCGUAGUCCCUGUCUCUUAUAU